AUGUGUCUGCAGCCGGUGAGGAAGCCCAGGCACACAGAAUCCUGCAGACCUCCCCAGCCCCUCCGCAUCCACAGAGAGCACUCAGGAACCAAAUGGACAUUUUCUCCCAGGUACACUUACUGUAAUGAAAUCCAUAGACUGGACAAGAAGCAUCCUUUAGGUAGGCUCUUUUAUACAUUAAGUGGAAACUCUUCUUCUGUGUGUUGUCUUUUCAGAAGGAAGCACUGUCCCUCCCUGUCUGUGGAAAGGCUUCACCCAGACACACAGAAAGGAGGGCCGGAGGAACAUGAACUCUUUACUGUGUGUGUGUGAUGGGUGUGAUUUAUUGCACCUUCCUUUAAGGCCUGGAGGCUGAUGCAGGGGGCAGUGGAGGCGGCAUGACGUAGGGUCAUUAUUGUACCCUUGGGCAGCACGGGUGUUUUCUAAGUGCUCUGGAAUCACUUAUUUACUAUCCCCACAGCACCUCCAGGAAGGAAGGUCAGCAUUAUCAUCCUGGCUUGGGAGGAGAUGGAUUUGAAACCCAGAAAGGUAGGAGGCAGGCCACGCUGAAUCAGUGCUGAGCCAUCUCCUCCAGCCAGGAUCUCAGUUAAUCUAUUCCUUCGGGAAAGGUAGCACUUUCCAUAGCCUCUGAAGACACCUGGAUGGGGAAAAGCCAGGGCACAAGCUUCAAGAUGCCGAUUCAUUCUGGUUAUUUCAGGAGAAAAAGUGAAUAGAAACUGAAAUUUAAUAUGUAUAUUCAGGAGAUCCACAAACUCUCUAGCGGUGAGGAACUAAAAGCAGUUGUAUAAGCCACACAUAGAAGUUGUUUACCGAGUGUCAAGGUUACCAGAUCCACGCUGUUUGUUAGUAGUAGAGUAGCCCACACCCAGUGGGCAGGCAGGGGAACAGGGCUGCAGGUCCCAAAGGUGCCCUAGCUCUUCUUAGCUGCCCUGCUUUGUGUUCUGUAAGGGAAUGGGUAAGAUUGGAGGUUUACUUGGAGCAGUAAAUUGGAACGCGAAGCAAUGCAUUCUGAUUCACCUCAGCCUCCCUACCCCCACCACACACACACACACACACACACACACACACACACAGGCAAUGCAGGAUUUUAACCUGCUGGCUUCACUAGAGAACCAGGAAGGAUGAGACCUGGGUUUGCAAGCUCAAAGAGGCAGGGUUGUCUCCCUCUCUGCUGGAAGAGAGAUGGAGGGGAGAUGCAGAGAUGAAGCCCAGAGAAAACCUCAAUGUAGUGGGUAUGAGUGUGGACCUGGCAAUAAAUAUGAGGCUGGCCCAAGGACCGUCAGCAUCAGCAUCACCAGGGAGCUCGUUAGAAAUGCCGAAUAUUGGCUCCCACACUGAUGUACCUGAUAGUCAGACUCUCUGAGGGCAGAGUCCAGGAAGCUGUGUAAUAAGUGCUCCAGGUGAUUCUUAUGUGUGCUAAAGACUGAGAAGCACUAGCUCUGGGGUCAGACAGCCUGCUCCAUCACUUUGGCUAUGUGACCCGACAGCCUCUCUAGGCCUCCAUUCCUACCUUUGUAAAUUGCAUACAGUGGCAAUACCUACCCCUUGGGGUUGUUGGGUAGUGAGAAUCAUAUGAGAAAUUGUGUGUAAAGCACUUUGAGCAGAGCCUGACACAUAAGGAACCCCCACUAAAGCAUACAGAAAAAAAAAAUACAGACUGUCCCUUCUUCAACUCUUAAACCCCACUUCCACCCAGAACUUGUGCUCCUGACUACCAUCCAAGGUUAACUCUUGGCCCAUGGUCAACUCGAACUGACAACAAACACUUGGAUCCUGACGAAGUCAUUCGUGACCCAUUCAUUCACAGAUCACAGGCAGUCCACAGGC
This 1827-nucleotide long non-coding RNA is filed under the name Canis lupus familiaris (dog). RNAcentral's name for it is "lncRNA (ENSCAFG00040007164.1)". The record is from RNAcentral. Lineage: Eukaryota; Metazoa; Chordata; Mammalia; Carnivora; Canidae.